AAUGACAGUACUUGGUAAAGAAGCCCCGGCUAACUUCGUGCCAGCAGCCGCGGUAAUACGAAGGGGGCUAGCGUUGUUCGGAAUUACUGGGCGUAAAGCGCACGUAGGCGGAUUUUUAAGUCAGAUGUGAAAUCCCAAGGCUCAACCUUGGAACUGCAUUUGAAACUGGGAAUCUAGAGAUCAGGAGAGGUUAGUGGAAUACCGAGUGUAGAGGUGAAAUUCGUAGAUAUUCGGUGGAACACCAGUGGCGGAAGGCGACUAAACAGGACUGAUACUGACCCUUAAGUGCGAAAGUGUGGGGGAGCAACAAGGAUUAGAUACCCCGGGUAGUCCACACCCGUAAACGAUCAGAAGCUAGUUUUCCUGCAGGGCCUGCCCUGUACGGGGACGUCACCUAAAGCAUUUAAGCUCUUCCGCCUGGGGAAGUACGGGCUUCAAGGUUAAAACUUCAAAAAAAUUUGAAUGGGGGCCCUCCAAAAGCGGUGGAACCAGGUGGGUUUAAUUUCGAAAGCACCGCCGAAAAACUUUAACCUAC
This 535-nucleotide ribosomal RNA is filed under the name uncultured Hyphomonas sp. Its description in RNAcentral is "bacterial SSU rRNA". It matches the Rfam family "Bacterial small subunit ribosomal RNA", at positions 468 to 979 of the family's 1533-position model. Lineage: Bacteria; Pseudomonadati; Pseudomonadota; Alphaproteobacteria; Hyphomonadales; Hyphomonadaceae. The record is from RNAcentral.